This 253-nucleotide ribosomal RNA is filed under the name uncultured bacterium. RNAcentral describes it as "partial 16S ribosomal RNA". It matches the Rfam family "Bacterial small subunit ribosomal RNA", at positions 524 to 776 of the family's 1533-position model. The record is from RNAcentral.
UACAGAGGGUGCAAGCGUUGCUCGGAUUUACUGGGCGUAAAGCGUACGCAGACGGUGAGAAAGGUCGAAUGUGAAAGCCCCGGGCUCAACCCGGGAACUGCAUCCGAAUCCAUCUCGCUAGAGUAUGAGAGAGGGAAGCAGAAUCCCUGGUGUAGAGGUGAAAUUCGUAGAUAUCAGGAGGAAUACCUGCGGCGAAGGCGGCUUCCUGGCUCAUUACUGACGUUCAGGUACGAAAGCGUGGGUAGCAAACAGG